This 5300-nucleotide long non-coding RNA is filed under the name Gossypium barbadense (sea-island cotton). Its description in RNAcentral is "long non-coding RNA (GBAR_LNC002015)". Lineage: Eukaryota; Viridiplantae; Streptophyta; Magnoliopsida; Malvales; Malvaceae. The record is from RNAcentral.
AACAAAAUAUAAUUGUUUUUUCAAUUUAAAAAAAAUGAAAAACCCAAACCCUAAAAUAUCUCUGCGGGAGAGCAUCAAACAUGGAAAGAGUUUUCAAAUUUGCCACUAUUCGUACCUGAGUCAGUGUUUUUUCCUGUCUUCUUUUCAUCUCUUUGUUUCAAAGAGCGGGAAACGAAGAAAAGCCUAAAGUUAGGGGUUUUGUGUUUUUUUUCUUCGAGUGAUGGCGAAUGUAGCAGUGGAUAAAGAUCAACAAUGGCUAAUGAAUUUCCGUUUAAGGUAAGUCAGAAAUCUUAGUAAUGCUUUCCUUUUUAUUGUGUUUCCAUUUAUUGUUUUAUAUAUACGUUUUUUUUUAUCACAGAAAAAGAAGUUUGAAGUUGUUCAAUGUAAUGCUACUAUAAAUAAAGGUUUCUGUAUUUGUAUUGAUUUUAAACUCUUUUUUGGGGGGGGGGGUUAUAUAAUGUUAACUUUCGAUGGCGUUCUUUGGUUUGUUCAUCUUUGUUUCAUUGGAGAGCUGAUAGGUGAGUUAGUGUAUUUUCUUUAUUUUUUAUGUUUAUUUAUAUAUAAAUUAAUAUUUGAAUCUCACUGUUUUCUGUUUGUUUCUCGGGAUUUUGCUUCUCGGUUUUGUUCCUUCCCAAAUAUCCUUUCUUUUUUCAAAAUUUUCUCUUCUUCGUCCUCACACUUUCUGGGAUUUUUAUUCCAUUGUUAUCAGUUUUCUUUAUCAACUUUUUUUAAUGAUUUUAUAAUAUUACAGGAAUUGUUGUGUAAAUUAGAAAGAGUGGGAGCUUUCAAUUGUCAUAUCGAUUCACGCAAACACAAUAAGAAGUGAGGAGGAAGUUAACAGAGGUGAAAUUUUGUGUUUGUUUUGUAAGAGGUACGUACAUUUGUCGACCUUUUUUUUUUCUGUUAGCUGCAGAAUUUCUUUACCCAUUUAAUUAGGCUAAUUUGUUGAUAUAUGCCGAAAAUUUUGAAAUUUAUCUAUUCAUGUCAGAGUAAAAACGCUGUAAUGGCCUAAAUUCAAGGUUAUCGGAACAAUGGUUUCGUAACCAUAGAUCCGAUUUAAAGAGACCAUAGAUCCGAUUUAAAGAGAAAUUUAUUUCAAUAUUUUUCCUUGAAAAUUUAUAUGAUAGGAAAAUCGUAUGAAAAUAUUGAUAGGAAAAUUUUAUUGAUUUAGUAAUUAGUUAGAAAAAGAAAUUAUUGAAGAAAUUGGGUAAAAUAAGGUUAUUAAUGUGGUAUUAAAAUUUUAUAAAUAUUUAAAAUAUUUAUGAAAUGUUAUUAAUUUGGUAUUAAAAUUUCGUUAGGAAAUUUUAAUAUUUGGGUAGUCAAUGAAAUGAAAAGGACUGAAUUGUAAUAGGUGUAAAAGUUACUAGAGUGAUUAAAUAGCUUAUUAGUCUAAUGAGGAAGGAUAUAAAAGGCAAUUAGACCCAAAAGUUAUUUGGGCUGGACGGCAAGGGUAUGAAAUCCGCAGAAAAAUUGAUAAAUUAAGGGUAAAAUUGGAAUAUUGCAAAAUUAACUAAAUAAAACUAGGACUAAAUAGGAAAUAUCUAGAUUUUUCUUCAUUUCUCUUCAAUUCCAGUAGCUAAAAAUGCCAUAGGAGGGUUCUCUAAGCUGGUAUUUCAUAAUUUUUGCACCAAAUGAGUUAAUCCUUGCCUUUUUCUUGUAAUUUUUGUGUUUCUAAGACUUUUACAACUAGAUCCUACUAUUAAAUUCAUUAGUUUUUGAUUUCAUGGAUGAAAUUUCAAGUCACCAUGGUUGAGUGCUGUAAGUUUAUGAUGAAAUAGAAUGAAAUUAAAGCUUUAAUUUGUUUAUGAGAUGAUUUUAUUAGGCAAUUUCAAUGGAAAUUGAUUUUUGGGACCUAAUUGUGAAAAUGUUUGGAAUUAAAGUCUAUUGCUGAAAUUCUGAUUCCUAAAGGUUGUAAACUAGUUUAAGGUGAUAUAAUAAAAUGUUAAUUGAGAAAAAUCAGCUCAAUUAAGAGGCUAAUUGAGUAGGGACGAAAUUAUCAUUUAUUAAAAGCUUAGGGGAAAAAUGGUAAUAAACAGCUUGCACUAAAACAGUUUGGACAACAGCAGUAAACUAACUUUGACAAAUCACCAAAAAUUGUAGGAAUCGAAUUAGAAGAUGAACAAAAUAUAGAAUUAAAUCUUAUUGAGUCUAGUUUCUCAUAGAAGAAAUAUUGUAAGCAAUGGAUUUGUAAAUUUUUAGAUAUAAUAAAUUUUGUGAGACAAGGUCAGAAUGAAUUCGGGUUCCCCUGUUCUGACUUUGAAAAAUUAUAAAAAAUUGAAUACAAAUAAUUAGGGACUUAAAUUUAUAUGUAUAGAAUUCUAAAUGAGUCUAUUUUUAAUAGAAACAAACAAAAACAUCAUUUGAAUUUUGUAUAAAGAGAUAAUUUAUUUUUAGUGAAGAAGGGUCAGAACUGUUAGACAACAGAACAGGGGUGACUUUGAAGAAUAAACUGUAUGAUUGGCUAAACCAAAAAUUCUGAAAAUUUUAUGGUAAAAAUAUCUAUGAGUCUUUUUUUAGAAAAAAUUAACGGAUCUUAAUUUGGAGUUCUGUAGCUCAUGUUAUAAAUAAUUUAGUGACUAUAACUCAAGUAGACAGCUUUGAAUGAACUAUAAAUAAUAGUUGAAUUAUAGAGAAUGUUGCAUAUGAACAUGAAAUGUAUUAAAUUGAUAAUUAAAUUUAUUUAUUUAGAUCCAGAAGAUUCAAAUACGAAGCUAGAUCGAGGAAAGGAAAAAGUUCGGGAUUAAUAAAUUUUUACUGUUUACAAACAAGUAUUAAGGUAAGUUCGUGUAACUUGAAUUAUAUUCUUAAAUGCUUGAAAUGCAUGUUUUUGAUAUGAAUAUGAUUUGAAUGUUCAUUAUAUGGAAAUUUAUGAAACAUUGAUAUAUUUGAUAAAAUGGGAAGAAAUCCCGUUUCAUUCAAAUGGGAAGAAAUCUCGUUUGAAUGAAAGGAAAAUUUGAUGGAUCUUUGAAAAGGAAUUGACGGUAAAAAGGAUCUAGCCCGGACGGGUGAUCCUAUCCUGAUAUAGCCAUCCGGAAGAAUAUGUGUAAAAUGGAUUUAGCCCGGACGGGUAAUCCGAAUUAGGGUCUGAAUUUAGCCUGGACUGGUAAUUCAGAUCCAAGCUCAUUAGAGUAAUUGUCGUUGCAGGGGAUUUAGCCUGGGCUGGUAAUCCCGACAAUACUCUAUGAGUUUAUAUUACAGGGGAUUUAGCUUGGACUGGUAAUCCCGCUGCAAGGUUGAGGUUCGCGAGAGUGUGCUCUCUGAAAUGAAAAUGUGCGCACAUGAAUAUGAAUUGACGGAACCGAAAUUGUACACUAAAAGUGUACCUCUGAAAAUCCAUCGAAAUUCUGAUAAAUUCAACGGGAUAAAUAUGAAAAAUAACAAGGAAAUGGAAAUCAUGGUAUUGACGAGCUCAUCAAUCUUGGUAUAUAUAUUAUUGAUACAUGAAAAUUAUUGUACUAACUUAAAUGUUGAGUUUGUGCAUGUUAGGGUAAUAAUGCAUUGAAUGGAUAUAUGAAUGUUUAUUAUAUUGUAUUGAAAAUAUUAGGUAAGUAUAAUUCUUGUUACAUGAGCUUACUAAGCACAAAGUGUAAUGGCGUAAAUUCAAUUUUAUCGGAACAGUGGUUUCGUAACCACAAAUUCGAUUUAAAGAGAAAUUUAUUUCAAUAUUUUUGCUUGAAAAUUUAUAUGAUAGGAAAAUCGUAUGAAAAUAUUGAUAGGAAAAUUUUAUCGAUUUUGUGAUUAGUUAGAAAAAGAAAUUAUUGAAGAAAUUAGGUAAAAUAAGGUAUCGAGACCUCUAUCUCGUAAAACCGAGUCGAAAAUAAUUUUAUAAAUAUUUAUGAAAUGUUAUUAAUGUGGUAUUAAAAUUUCGUUAGGAAAUUUUAAUGUUUGGGUAGUCAAUUAAAUGAAAAGGACUGAAUUGUAAUAGGUGUAAAAGUUACUAGAGUGAUUAAAUAGCUUAUUAGUCUAAUGAGAAAGGAUAUAAAAGGCAAUUAGACCCAAAAGUUAUUUUGGCUAGACGGUAAGGUAUGAAAUCAGCAGAAAAAUUGAUAAAUUAAGGGUAAAAUUGGAAUAUUGCAAAAUUAACUAAAUAAAACUAGGACUAAAUAGGAAAUAUCUAGAUUUUUCUUCAUUUCUCUUCAAUUCCAACAGCUAAAAACGCCAUAGGAGGGUUCUCUAAGCUGGUAUUUCAUAAUUUUUGCACCAAGUGAGUUAAUCCUUGCCUUUUUCUUGUAAUUUUUGUGUUUCUAAGACUUUUACAACUAGAUCUUACUAUUAAAUUCAUUAGUUUUUGAUUUCAUGGAUGAAAUUUAAAGUUACCAUGGUUGAGUGCUGUAAGUUUAUGAUGAAAUAGAAUGAAAUUAAAGCUUUAAUUUGUUUAUGAGAUGAUUUUAUUAGGCAAUUUCAAUGGAAAUUGAUUUUUGGAACCUAAUUGUGAAAAUGUUUGGAAUUAAAGUCUAUUGCUGAAGUUCUGAUUCCUAAAGGUUGUAAACUAGUUUAAGGUGAUAGAAUAAAAUGUUAAUUGAGAAAAAUCAGCUCAAUUAAGAGGCUAAUUGAGUAGGGACGAAAUUAUCAUUUAUUAAAAGCUUAGGGGAAGAAAUGGUAAUAAACAGCUUGCACAAAAACAGUUUGGACAGCAGCAGUAUACUAACUUUGAAAAAUCACCAAAAAUUGUAGGAAUCAAAUUAGAAGAUGAAGAAAAUAUGGAAUUAAAUCUUAUUGAGUCUAAUUUCUCAUAGAAGAAAUAUUGUAAGCAAUGAAUUUGUAAAUUUUUAGAUAUAAUGAAUUUUGUGAGACAAUGUCAGAAUGAAUUCGGGUUCCCCUGUUCUGACUUUGAAAAAUUAUAAAAAAAUUGAAUACAAAUAAUUAGGGACUUAAAUUUAUAUGUCUAGAAUUCUGAAUGAGUAUAUUUUUAAUAGAAACAAACAAGAACAUCAUUUGAAUUCUGUAUAAAGAGAAUUUAUUUUUAGUGAAGAAGGGUCAGAACUGUUAGACAACAGAACAGGGGUGACUUUGAAGAAUAAACUGUACUGAUUGGCUAAAGCAAAAAUUCUGAAAAUUUUAUGGUAAAAAUAUAUAUGAGUCUAGUUUCAGGAAAAAUUAACAGAUCUUAGUUUGGAGUUUCGUAGCUCAAAUUAUAAAUAAUUUAGUGACUAUGACUCAAGUACACAGCUUUGAAUGAACUAUAAAUAAUAGUUGAAUUAAAGAGAAUGUCGCAUAUGAACAUGAAAUGUAUUAAAUUGAUAAUUAAAUUUAUUUAUUUAGAUCUGGACGAUUCAAAUACGAAGCUAGAUCGAGGAAAG